CCCCAAAGAUUUAAGAGUUACUCAACUAAGGCACAGCUUAUUUGAGAUAGGGUACAACCUACACCCCUGGGUAAACUCCUAACACUAUUAUGAGUGGGCCUAAAAGCAGCCAUCUUAAAAAGCGUUAAAGCUUAUUAUAGACUUACUACUAAUACCACAUCCAACCAUGAACCCUUCCUCUCUAUUAAGUGAUUCCAUAAAUAUAUGGUAACCCUAAUGCUAGGAUUAGUAACAAGAAUCUUAUUCUCCAAAAUGUAAACACAAGCCAGAAUGGACAGGCCACUGGCCCCUAACGGAAGUGAACCUCGUGCAGUAACAUAACAAGAAAACCUUGCUUUAUCUAACCGUUAACCUAACACUAGUACAUUUCUGGAAAGAUUAAAAGGGUGGGAAGGAACUCGGCAAAACAUAACUCCGCCUGUUUACCAAAAACAUCGCCUCUUGACCAAAUAUAAGAGGUCCAGCCUGCCCAGUGAAAAUUAAACGGCUGCGGUACCCUGACCGUGCAAAGGUAGCAUAAUCACUCGUUCUUUAAAUAAGGACUCGUAUCAAUGGCACCACGAGAGUUAAACUGUCUCCCCCCCCCAAUCAGUGAAAUUGACCCCCCCGUGAAGAAGCGGGGAUAUAAAUAUAAGACGAGAAGACCCUAUGGAGCUUAAAACACAUAUGCAUCUCUACCCCACAACCCCACAUAAUACUUAGAGUUUUGCAGUAAGGUCUUUGGUUGGGGUGACCGCGGAGUAAAAACUAGCCUCCACAACGUAAAGAACUAAAUCUUUAUCCAAGAAUUACUAUUCAAAGAAUUUGAAAACAAACGACUAAUGAUCCGACUUUCGAUCAACGGACCAAGUUACCCUGGGGAUAACAGCGCAAUCUACUUUUAGAGCCCUUAUCAACAAGUAGGCUUACGACCUCGAUGUUGGAUCAGGGUAUCCUAGCGG
This 941-nucleotide ribosomal RNA is filed under the name Theloderma stellatum (Taylor's bug-eyed frog). RNAcentral's name for it is "partial 16S ribosomal RNA". It matches the Rfam family "Bacterial large subunit ribosomal RNA", at positions 967 to 2553 of the family's 2925-position model. The record is from RNAcentral. Lineage: Eukaryota; Metazoa; Chordata; Amphibia; Anura; Rhacophoridae.